GACGAACGCUGGCGGCGUGCCUAAUACAUGCAAGUCGAGCGCAGGAAAUCGACGGAACCCUUCGGGGGGAAGUCGACGGAAUGAGCGGCGGACGGGUGAGUAACACGUAAAGAACCUGCCCUCAGGUCUGGGAUAACCACGAGAAAUCGGGGCUAAUACCGGAUGGGUCAUCGGACCGCAUGGUCCGAGGAUGAAAGGCGCUUCGGCGUCGCCUGGGGAUGGCUUUGCGGUGCAUUAGCUAGUUGGUGGGGUAAUGGCCCACCAAGGCGACGAUGCAUAGCCGACCUGAGAGGGUGAUCGGCCACACUGGAACUGAGACACGGCCCAGACUCCGACGGGAGGCAGCAGUAGGGAAUCUUCCACAAUGGACGAAAGUCUGAUGGAGCAACGCCGCGUGAACGAUGAAGGCCUUCGGGUCGUAAAGUUCUGUUGUAAGGGAAGAACAAGUGCCGCAGGCAAUGGCGGCACCUUGACGGUACCUUGCGAGAAAGCCACGGCUAACUACGUGCCAGCCGCCGCCGUAA
Molecule: ribosomal RNA, 524 nt
Filed under: uncultured bacterium
Lineage: Bacteria
Description: partial 16S ribosomal RNA
Rfam family: Bacterial small subunit ribosomal RNA
Source: RNAcentral